CAGGAACCUGAAAACCUUACUUCUCGGGUUUCUCAUAUCAAAUUAAUUAGGAAAAGUAUUUGGAAGAUAAGUUCUUAUUUUUUGCCUUCAUGUUAGCAUUUCAAAACCUUCCCUAGAACCAGCUCUAGUGUUUUAAAGCAAAUGCCAUGUGGGAGGAGAGAAAUAGUGCUGAGCAAGAGCAGGAACAGCACGGGACGGCCGUCUGCCAGGUUCUGCCUCGUCAUCCUGAAAUCCAGUUCUGCGGGAGCCACUUCAUUGGGAGCUGCUGAAAGUCACUACCUCGGUGUAACUUUCUCCACCUUGGUGUUUUCUUCCUCGCCCAUGUGGUGCUCACUGCGCCUCCCCAGGACCAGCCCUUCUCUCCGCUGCUUGCCUCCUUCCCCUGGGACCAGUGGCAGCUUCCUCUCCACACUUGGCCGCUUGAACUGCCCUUCCUCCACGUUAGUCACAACUGCUGGGCCCGACAACUUCCGCAGGUGAACUCUGCUCUGCCAUACCCAGUCCGUCUGGGUUUGUUCAUUUCAUAGCAAUACCCGCUUUCUUUUACAAGCAGCCACGGCAGCAGGGCUGGCACAGGUCUUCUUCUUGCACGAGGCUUGCCCGGUCCCAGGUUUCCCUUUCGCUGGCCCUUGGACCCCUCCUGCACAUUGCCACUUUAUUGUCUGCACACACAAAAGCUGCCUCCUGUUUGCCUGUGAGCACCAGGCUUCGCAAGCUGCCCUGCCCUGCUGUUCUCCUUUAUCCCUCCUCUGCUUCUGAAAGCAUUUUUCUUCUCAGCUUAUCAGCGCCAGGAGGAGCUGACGGAGCUGAGCCCUUACUGUUUUCUAUGGCUGUGGUCUCACCCCCCUUCAACACCUGUCUCCUUCUGAAAUUAAUUCCAAAUCAAUCAAUAACCCAAUCAGAUAAGCCAUGUCCCUUGCUUUGCACACACAUUUAUCUCGCUCUGAAUAAUUUUCCAGCAAUGAGUCACCAGCCAUUUAGCCUAAUUUUGGGAACUCUUACAAUAGACCAGUCUGUUCCG
Molecule: long non-coding RNA, 1021 nt
Filed under: Anser brachyrhynchus (Pink-footed goose)
Lineage: Eukaryota; Metazoa; Chordata; Aves; Anseriformes; Anatidae
Description: lncRNA (ENSABRG00000017462.1)
Source: RNAcentral